Molecule: ribosomal RNA, 514 nt
Filed under: uncultured bacterium
Lineage: Bacteria
Description: partial 16S ribosomal RNA
Rfam family: Bacterial small subunit ribosomal RNA
Source: RNAcentral
GAUGAACGCUGGCGGCGUGCCUAAUACAUGCAAGUCGAGCGAACUGAUUAGAAGCUUGCUUCUAUGACGUUAGCGGCGGACGGGUGAGUAACACGUGGGCAACCUGCCUGUAAGGCUGGGAUAACUUCGGGAAACCGAAGCUAAUACCGGAUAGAAUCUUCUCCUUCAUGGGAGAUGAUUGAAAGAUGGUUUCGGCUAUCACUUACAGAUGGGCCCGCGGUGCAUUAGCUAGUUGGUGAGGUAACGGCUCACCAAGGCAACGAUGCAUAGCCGACCUGAGAGGGUGAUCGGCCACACUGGGACUGAGACACGGCCCAGACUCCUACGGGAGGCAGCAGUAGGGAAUCUUCCGCAAUGGACGAAAGUCUGACGGAGCAACGCCGCGUGAGUGAUGAAGGCUUUCGGGUCGUAAAACUCUGUUGUUAGGGAAGGACAAGUACGAGAGUAACUGCUCGUACCUUGACGGUACCUAACCAGAAAGCCACGGCUAACUACGUGCCAGCAGCCGCAGUAA